AUACAGAGGGUGCAAGCGUUAAUCGGAAUUACUGGGCGUAAAGCGCGCGUAGGUGGUUCAGUAAGAUGGAAGUGAAAUCCCCGGGCUUAACCUGGGAACUGCUUUCAUAACUGCUGAGCUAGAGUACGGUAGAGGGUAGUGGAAUUUCCUGUGUAGCGGUGAAAUGCGUAGAUAUAGGAAGGAACACCAGUGGCGAAGGCGACUACCUGGACUGAUACGGACACUGAGGUGCGAAAGCGUGGGGAGCAAACAGGAUUAGAUCCCCUGGUCGUCCACGCCGUAAACGAUGUCAACUAGCCGUUGGGAACCUUGAGUUCUUAGUGGCGCAGCUAACGCACUAAGUUGACCGCCUGGGGAGUACGGUCGCAAGAUUAAAACUUAAAUGAAUUGGCGGGG
RNAcentral lists this ribosomal RNA (396 nucleotides) under uncultured bacterium. Its description in RNAcentral is "partial 16S ribosomal RNA". It matches the Rfam family "Bacterial small subunit ribosomal RNA", at positions 523 to 918 of the family's 1533-position model. The record is from RNAcentral.